CAGUAGCCACGGUAAUACAGAGGGUGCGAGCGUUAAUCGGAUUUACUGGGCGUAAAGCGUGCGUAGGCGGCUUCUUAUGUCGGAUGUGAAAUCCCUGAGCUUAACUUAGGAAUUGCAUUCGAUACUGGGAAGCUAGAGUAUGGGAGAGGAUGGUAGAAUUCCAGGUGUAGCGGUGAAAUGCGUAGAGAUCUGGAGGAAUACCGAUGGCGAAGGCAGCCAUCUGGCCUAAUACUGACGCUGAGGUACGAAAGCAUGGGGAGCAAACAGGAUUAGAUACCCCUGUAGUCCCUGUCUCUUAUAC
This 301-nucleotide ribosomal RNA is filed under the name uncultured bacterium. RNAcentral describes it as "partial 16S ribosomal RNA". It matches the Rfam family "Bacterial small subunit ribosomal RNA", at positions 509 to 807 of the family's 1533-position model. The record is from RNAcentral.